CCAAUGGAUUUUUCUCUCCUUUUCUUGCUGGCUCCACCAGUACUUCCCAAUCAUCAUGCUUAUUUGAUCACACAGCUCCUUCAUCAAAUCAAAACAUCCCAUGGCAAAGGUGGGAAUAGCUUGUGCCACAGCCUUAAUCAUCACCUCCUUCCCUGCUCUUGACAACAUUUUUUCCUUCCACCCUUGAAUUCGUUUCCAAAUCCGUUCCUUCAGGGCCUGCAUAGUCUACCCUUUUCGCAGCCGCUGUAUUUGGACUAAACAUCACAGUGGACUUCUCCUUGUUGAUCAUCUGUCCCGAGCACUCCUCAUAUACUUCAUUUUCCAACAGCGCUGAGAAGCCUUCUGCACAUAGGAGGAACAAAUAUGGUGAUAAUGGGUCGCCUUGGCGGAGGCCUCUCUCCGGGAAGAAAGCUUCUGAAAGCUCUCCAUUAACUCUUAUUCUGUACGAAACUCUUACAUUUGCUUGGAGUACUAUUUGCUUAUUAAGUUAACUUUCAUGUAGUUCCCUCUUUUGUGGAUCAUAUGACACCCAUGACAUAUCAAAGCCCAUAUACUUUAGAGCCCAUAUGGCCUAUGAGGACUUUCUACAUAUACACAUAAUCCGUAAUGGGCCAAUUGUCUUAUGAAACUCCCAAGUUUAGUAACAGAACAUCAUGUUUAAUUAGCAAGCACAUGUCUGUUUAGCUACACUGUGUUCCUCUAUUCUUGAGAUUUCCAGAAGAAUUGGUUGGUGCCUGCUUGCUUAUAGCUUGCACGAUUAUUGUGCAAUUCUGCAAUAUUAUGCCGUUCUCUUCGCCAAUUCUGCAAGCUAAGCUCAUGUGUGCCGCACAAUUAUUUUGCUAUCUUCUUACGUAGACAGGAGAUUGGAGCAAUAUUAUGGCCUCUUUUGUUUCUGAUUAUCUGGAGCUUAUUUUUCUAAGAAGCAAGAUUAUAAGAGA
Molecule: long non-coding RNA, 938 nt
Organism: Panicum virgatum (switchgrass)
Lineage: Eukaryota; Viridiplantae; Streptophyta; Magnoliopsida; Poales; Poaceae
Exons: 3
Source: RefSeq, a predicted model, not a curated record